GAAAAAGAUAGAGGUUGCGGUCGCCAUCAGUAACCUGCCCGAGCAAAGCACAUGCGCUGAAGGCAGGCGAAAGGGAACACCGCCGAAAUCCUCACCGGCGUGUGAACGGUGAGCGGUUGGGCCGCUGGAGAAGAUCCGGCGGACUGUCGCAGUAAUGCGGGGCGCUAUCGUCAAU
Molecule: non-coding RNA, 175 nt
Filed under: Lacticaseibacillus camelliae
Lineage: Bacteria; Bacillati; Bacillota; Bacilli; Lactobacillales; Lactobacillaceae
Also listed under: 1 other name
Description: Lactobacillus camelliae Lysine sequence
Rfam family: Lysine riboswitch aptamer
About the family: Riboswitches are metabolite binding domains within certain messenger RNAs that serve as precision sensors for their corresponding targets.
Source: RNAcentral